Long non-coding RNA from Aedes albopictus (Asian tiger mosquito), 6088 nucleotides. RefSeq lists it as uncharacterized. The record is from RefSeq and is a predicted model, not a curated record. NCBI's taxonomy places the organism in Eukaryota, Metazoa, Arthropoda, Insecta, Diptera, Culicidae. The transcript has 2 exons.
ACACGCAGAAAAAUAAAUUGUAAACACAAUUAAAUUCUAGUUCAAAUCAACCGAUUUUUCAGUUUACUAUAGCGACAAACUGAUUUCUAGUUAAAACUGAACUGUUCUAUUGUUUGAUAAUACAAAUAUUUUCGUUUGUCGGAAUUUUUGACAGUUUGUUAAAACAAACAGACAUAUGGUAUUUUCAACAUGAGAUAAUGGAUUGAUUCAAACGACUGCACUUUUGCCACUAACAAACCCGGAAUGUGAUUGGGUUGGUGACGGCAGCAACUGCGGCAGCUCGGAAAUCUAUUUUUAGACCGUCGGUAAGCGGAUGGGGAGGAGACCGACUAAAAAUAAGACAAAAAAUGCGAAACCGAUCAACUUUUUGUGGAUGCUGUCGUGAGUACCUGCGCGUUAUCCAUCACUGCCAAAGCUGCACUUGGAAGUUGGCGUGAUGGAUUGCUACACCUUCUUCGUUGUGGCGAUGUUGGGGUAAGCAUUUUAUAGAUGUGUGAGUGCUUUCGGACCAUGUUUAUGGUUUUUAUUUUGUUGAAACAAAUGAAAUUUUUGACAUUAUAUGAAAUGAUGGUAAUCGGUUGUUUUUAUCGAUAAACUCUAAAUGAAAACAAUUAAAUAUAACUUUGGAAUAAGUAAAUUCUCAGUUUGAAAAUCAACCAUGCGUUUUAUUGUUUUAAACAAGCGCCAUUUUUCUGCGUGUAUGACUAGUUUCAACUUCGCACGUAUUGCUUAUCCAGAGAAAUCUUCCAACCUGGCGGAGUGAAGAAGACAAAGAAGACCUGUUCCGCAAACGUCAAACUGCUGCACACUUCAAAAAGUAUGCACACAACCUUGAAACAAAAAUAAAUAGUUGAGAAUCUAAAUUAUGUUUAAUGGCGUACAGCUGCAUACUAAAGUGCUAAAACUACACCUAAUAUAGUUUAGAAAUAAGUUACAUGUUGUGGCAGCAAUUGCGAUUACAUAAACCAUAAAUGAAACAAUUUUCAUUAUUUUUGAAUUUUAUGGCAACCAAAUGAGUGAGAGCUUUUUAGCGUGAACCGAGCACUUUUGACGUUUGCGGAACGACUGCGGCGGUCGAAACCACCGCAACCCCGUUGGAUUUUUUCUAUUUUACCGCAGUAUUCCGUAAGGAAAAGUAACGAUUCUCCCCACACGAAGAAACUGAAAAACUCAAAAUUAGGUACUUUUAAACUCAAUUUUGAGUUCUUUUUCGUCUCCCUUUUCAUGCGCUCUUUCUAAUGUUGCCAGAGAGUGAAGAGAGAAACAGUGGGCUUUUGCAGUUCAGUGCGUCAAGCCAAAACUGAGUUUCUAGCACAGUACUCAAAUUUGAGUGAAUACAACCUAGUCAAAAUUUCGGUUGGGUGAAAAAACCCUAAAAUUAGGUAUUCCUUUCUCAUGGAAGCUAGCGGGAACAACCCAACAAAAACAUCGAUUCCAUCAACUCAAAAGUGGCUUGACGCACGCAACCCCGAAGUUGAGUGGAAAGAACUCACUUUUGGGUAGUUUCGUCUCUCCGUGCAUACUGGAUCAGUUGUCAAAAUUACUUGCGGAAAAAGGUGGAAUUUUACGUCAGCGCUGGAAAAGGUGGAUUUUUACUUCAGCGCUCUACUUGGCAACAAGAAACAGUUACUAAGCUUUACCUCCAUCAGCUGGCAGCACCGGCAGCAUAAGCCCAAGUACAGAUUAUAGACACUAUAGAUUCCAUAGACUCGUGGAGGCGAAGACAACUGUAGCCAAACGAGCAUGACGUCACGAUUUCAAUAGCAACAAUGGAUUGCGUGACGUCAUAUUCGCUCGGUACACUCUAAAUUCACGGCAAAACCAGGGAUAGGGUGCGACUCAAAACUCUUUGCGUGCCGCACACUCUGCUACGAGACAGCACAACAAACUAGAAGGAGACGAGUACACUGAACGGAAACAUCCUCCUGAAAACGAAAGAAUAAGGCAUUUUAUGAGACGUUUCAAAUCAGCUGUUUUUUGAAUGUUUACCAGCUUUGAAGCCCACCCGGUGGGCCCAUUUAUUUACAUUUUCGUUAGCAUAACAUGUGAUACGGACCCAUCCAAUAAACGGGGUUCAUUUAUCUGCAAAAAUGCGUCAAUCCGCCCACUAUAAUUAAUAUCCGUAGACCGUGAGAAUGUUUUUUCAUCUGCUAGUGACAUCAUACAGCUCGGGGGAUUGAUACAUGCCGCAUUAGAAACCGAAACAUCUCUGCCAGCAAAAAUCUGAUUGGCGCUCACCACAUGUUAUGCUACUUUUUGCGAAAACAAAAACAUCAAAUGUAAACAAUAACAUUGAGCGGCCCACCGGUAGAACGUCUCGUAAAAUAGCUUAUUGCCAUUCCCUUUCAUACGAAUUAGAAUACACGCUAUUCCAUAUGACUGCCACAACCGAAUGACGGAACACAGCUUCUCCGAAUGAUUGUCAGUUUAAUACUAUCACACAAUCAAAACAAAAACAGCAUAAACCGUCAUACGAUAAUUGAGUGAGGAGCAAGCAAGAGAGGAUCAUCUUCAAACUGGGUGAUGUUUGAUUCACGCGUGCCCCAUGACGCGCAUCAUCCAGUUUUCGCACACGCUUCUCAUUGCUUAUCAUCUGAUGAGUGAAACACCUCGCUUGCAUGGAAGUGCUGAUGGUUCAUUAGCAUAAUUUUGUCUUGUCCGGCAGCCAUGUUGGUGUGUUCGUCGAAUUUCAUUUAAGUUUAUUUUAAUAUUUCAAGUUUUUGUUGGGUGAUUAAAAAUAUUCGUCAUAUACCUUCGAUCGUUGCUGUGAUGAUAAGGAGCACCUCGACGACCGAAAAAGACGGCGAUGCGUGCGGCGAUGGAUCAUCCUCAAUUGCCUAAUCCGUCUACCCGCCAAGUAACUGCGUCGCAAGCUAUACGACGGAGCCUAAUAAAGACCUAAAGACCAGAUUGAAUAUACAAAUGCCAAAUUCUUGGUGAAAAGUGCUGUUGAUAUUAUUAUAAAUACAUACCAAAAGACAAAUAAAGUAUUUCUGAAUUUUACAGGAAAAAGCACUUAACUUUCAUUUCUAUAAAAGCAUGCCCGGUUUAUUUUUUUAAGAAAAAUACAAAAUCGAAUAUAAGAAUUUCAUUCACAAUCCAAUUUCUUUUUAGUUAUAAUACGAAUAAAAAGCAUACGAAUCGAAUAAGAUUUUCAAUUGACUAUGAUUUUGAAAGUCUUACUGGAAUCGGAUGACAUGCAUACGAUUGUUCACCAUCCGGUGGUGAACCGGAGCGUAUGGUCAUCAUCCGAUUUUCGACUGCUUGUCGUCAAAGGGCUCGACCGUAUCAAUUUUCAGUCGCUUAGAGGAUGAAGCUUUGGUUCAGUGUACGCGCAAUCGGUUGUGUGUUGCUCGCUUACUUUGCCGCGCGCAGGAGCUCUCCUGUCUCUCACGCUUUUUCGUAUGCACUCUCUCGGUGCUUGUCUCCGUGCUUGGCACUUGGCUUGAUACUACGCACGAUUGGAAAAAUAUUUUGAAUCAAACGACCCAUCACUUGUCAACCCUUGACAAGCUUAACCCGUAUCGGCCUGAGUCAGCGCAUAUGAACUAAAAAUGUCGCCGUUAAGCGAAUACACAACGGAUUUGAAUAUUUUUUUGACAGUGCACUUGUACAUAUGUCUAGUUUGUAAAAGUGGACAGAGAACGUCGGAAUGGUCCCUAUGGCCGGAGUUAUUCCGGUGGGUCACUGGGUCAGAUUCGUAUAAAAAGGGCUGUUUUUUGGUACACAGAGUGUUUUCCAUUAUGAUUCGCUAUUAAACUCACUCUAUUUUCACUAAAACUUAUACCUCUGUAACCAAACAUUGUUUCCACACAGUUUUUGACCAUUUAGGAACUACCGGAUGUGGCCACCGGGCAUAAUCUCCGGAGGAACCUGCCACAUACUGUAUACUGGGGUACACUACCAUAACCCAUUUUUUGCAGCUCUAUGUAUUGACUUUAGCGGUAUAGUGUCUUAGAAGAAUUUGUUCUGUAUACUGAACUCUUUAUUUUGGGAUUUUCACUUUUGUGAUUAAUCCACCUAAAAGUGCGACAGAAAUUCACUUUUUUUCAAAAAUGAAGAUAGAGUGUUGGUGUCUUCUGCAAAGUUGUAGAAAAAUGUAUUGUUGGAAAGUUUGCCGAAAAAACUAUUACCUUAUUUGCUUAAUUAUAAGAGAUAUGUGUAGUUUUUUGUGAACGACCCCUCAAAAUAGUUUUUUGUUAUAUCUUUUUCAGGGGAUUUUUGGUAAUUUUCGUGUGUUCUACAAAGUUGUUCUUUGUUAUGAAAUACACAUCCUUCUGCUUUUUUAUCAUUGGAAUAACGCUCCAGGUGGAACAGAGCCUGCAUCUCAAGAAAAACAUAAAUAGAUGUUCUUAAUGAGUCCUUGGAGAAAUCCCUGGUGGAAUCAUGGAACGAAUAUUAUAGAAAUACCUGGAAUGAUAAUAGGUCUCUUCCAGAAUUUAUUGAAGGAAUUCCCCUUGCAAUAACAACCACUAGCGUAGGCAGCCUUUUCUUUUUUUCAUUAAUUCUUUUUGAUAAAUACUAAGAAAUGCGGGAUGAAGGAAAGGGCAAGUCCCUAGUCUUGUGUAUUUACAACUGAGAUUCCUAUGAAGGUGCUGCUGUGAAUCCUCCAGAUAUUUCUUUAAAAUUUCUUGCUGUGAUUCCUUCAGGGAUUUCCAGUAGUAUUUCAAGCAAAGUUCUUAAAGAGAGAAAUUAGGAAAAAUCAUUGGAAAUAUCUAUAGAAAUCCUUGGAGAAAUCACAGAAUGGAUUUGAAUAUGAUAACGUGGACAUACAGGGGAUAGACAAAAUGAUCGGGACAGGCAAAAUUUUUACUUUUCAAAAAAUGUUCAACUAGCUGUAACUUUUCGAAAAGUGCAUCGAAUAUUCUCAAAUUUUUACUGUAAGUUCAUCAACUAGUUGUGUAUCAGUGGUCCAAAUUUGAAAAAGAUCGGGCUAUUUUCCACGAAGUUAAAAACAUUCUUCAAAAAGGUAAAAUUAUCCGAUAGCCAAUUUUGAGCUGUUAUAUCUCAGAAUUCAAUGAACUGAUUUCAAUGAAUUUUUGACCAUUCAUGACUUAUAUAAUGACCUCUAAAAGACGUUUGACUUAUCUUGAAAUUUUUAACAAGAGGAAAAGUUAUAGCGAUUUCAUUUAUUUCACGAUUUUUUAGUAAAUUGAUCUAUUUUUAAUGUACAUCCCAUUACUUUCUCAAUUUGUUGUCGGCUAUGUUGUUACUUUCCUUCAAAACACAUUUAUAUAUAAGUCAUUUAGAGGAAAUUUAAAUGAAGUAUAAUUUGCAUCUUGAGUUUUGAAACGAUGUUGAAGUUUUGGAUAAUUUGGUGUUUUAUUAGAAAAAUAAUCUAUCCGUUAUAAUUUUCUUUCGUGUUAAGAAUUUUAAGUUAAGUCAAAAGUUUUUGAUCCCUCAUUAUGUAAGUCAUAAUUGGUCAAAAUUUCAUUUCAUUCGGUUUAUUGAAUCCGGAGAUAUAACAGCUCAAAGUUGGCUGUCGGAUAAAUAUACCUUUUUCUUAGAAUCUUUAUAACUUCGUGCAGAAUAGCCCGAUCUUUUCCAAAAUUGGACCACUAAUACACAACUAAAUGAUCAACUUACAGUAAAAAAUUUAGAAUAUUUGAUGCACUUUUGGAAAAGUUACAGCUGCAUGAAAAUUUUUUGAGAGGUGAAAAUUUUGCCUGUCCCGAUCAUUUUGUCUAUCCCCUGUACUUCUGGAGCAAUCUCAGCAAGAAUUUCAGCAUUUCAGCAGGAAUUCCUUGGGACGUUAUCCAAAGAUUACUUCAUAUUCCCAAGAGUUCCUCUUGACAUUUUCAGCGGAUUUCUCCAAGAGUUUCUUCAGGAAUUCCUCUAGAAAAUAUUCUAGGAUACCUACCGUGAUUUCUGCAUUGAUCCAUUGUGUGUUGUUCUCAAAGUUCUGUGCCAAAGUUAUCCUGAAUCGGAUACAAAAGAAAACAGACGCGGCUCUCCGGCGGCAGUUGACUAUAUUAUCACGCUCCGUAUUAUACUGGAGCAGGUGAACGAAUUCCAAGAGUCCCUCUUUUUGGUGUUCAUUGAGUACAAAAAAGCUUUCGAUCGUCUGAGCCAUGAAAAUCUGUGGGGC